RNAcentral lists this ribosomal RNA (254 nucleotides) under uncultured bacterium. Its description in RNAcentral is "partial 16S ribosomal RNA". It matches the Rfam family "Bacterial small subunit ribosomal RNA", at positions 524 to 776 of the family's 1533-position model. The record is from RNAcentral.
UACGUAGGGCGCGAGCGUUGUCCGGAAUUAUUGGGCGUAAAGAGCUCGUAGGCGGUGUGUCACGUCGGCCGUGAAAACCUGGGGCUUAACUCUGGGCGUGCGGUCGAUACGGGCAUCACUAGAGUUCGGCAGGGGAGACUGGAAUUCCUGGUGUAGCGGUGAAAUGCGCAGAUAUCAGGAGGAACACCGGUGGCGAAGGCGGGUCUCUGGGCCGUAACUGACGCUGAGGAGCGAAAGCGUGGGGAGCAAACAGG